CAUCGCAACGGACUGCAUGUUUUGCCUGGCAUUUGUGUGCCUACGUGCGUGUGUGUGUGAGCAAGGGAGCACCAAAGGAAGUCCCUCCAAUGGCAGAGAAACGGCAUAAGUGUUGCACAUGUUGUUGUGACACAUGCCCUCGGGGCUAGCGGUCUCCGCAUGAGUGAAUCACGGUGGGAUAAGAGAUCCUGGGUACGGACAGAUGGUUUGCGCUGUCACUCGGAGGAGGCAGAGCUAACUGAGUCAGGAAGAGGAGCCAAACGAAGCCUUCAAGAUUUACAGCCGGCCCUCUGUAUCCACAGAUUAUUGCAGAUUCAGCUAUCCAUGGCUUGAAAAUAUCAUCGCAAACUUUUUACCAUUUA
Molecule: non-coding RNA, 362 nt
Organism: Anolis sagrei ordinatus
Lineage: Eukaryota; Metazoa; Chordata; Lepidosauria; Squamata; Anolidae
Source: RefSeq, a predicted model, not a curated record